This 450-nucleotide ribosomal RNA is filed under the name uncultured bacterium. RNAcentral's name for it is "bacterial SSU rRNA". It matches the Rfam family "Bacterial small subunit ribosomal RNA", at positions 354 to 796 of the family's 1533-position model. The record is from RNAcentral.
GUGGGGAAUAUUGGACAAUGGGCGAAAGCCUGAUCCAGCCAUGCCGCGUGUGUGAAGAAGGUCUUCGGAUUGUAAAGCACUUUAAGUUGGGAGGAAGGGCAGUAAGUUAAUACCUUGCUGUUUUGACGUUACCAACAGAAUAAGCACCGGCUAACUUCGUGCCAGCAGCCGCGGUAAUACGAAGGGUGCAAGCGUUAAUCGGAAUUACUGGGCGUAAAGCGCGCGUAGGUGGUUUUGUAAGUUGGAGGUGAAAUCCCCGGGCUCAACCUGGGAACUGCCUCCAAAACUGCAUGACUAGAGUACGGUAGAGGGUAGUGGAAUUUCCUGUGUAGCGGUGAAAUGCGUAGAUAUAGGAAGGAACACCAGUGGCGAAGGCGACUACCUGGACUGAUACUGACACUGAGGUGCGAAAGCGUGGGGAGCAAACAGGAUUAGAAACCCUUGUAGUCC